Long non-coding RNA from Aquila chrysaetos chrysaetos, 3602 nucleotides. RefSeq lists it as uncharacterized. Lineage: Eukaryota; Metazoa; Chordata; Aves; Accipitriformes; Accipitridae. The record is from RefSeq and is a predicted model, not a curated record. The transcript has 5 exons.
UUUCGGUGCGCUCCCACAAAGAGCCCCGCCGGCCGGGGGGGGGGACCCGGAGGUCGCGGCGUUCUGAUUCAAAGGACCGCUUUUGUUCUCUUCAGGACUGCUGAAAGAAUUAUUCUCCCCUUCUCAUCUGGCACAUUUGGUUUUAAUAACGAGCUCAAACCUUUCAAUGUUCUGGAAAAGAAGGAAGAAGCUCUGAGCAAUCUGCACUGAUUGAACUCUGGAGUAACACUUCAUUUCCUAAUAUGACAUCUUGGUCUUAUUUUUUAUGGCUAGUGUCCAUCCUUCACUCCUACGUGGAUUUUGUUACUAAAAAACAACAAGGAAACAUAAGUGUUCUUGGAGCAUAAUCAUGUGAAGUGGAGAAGUCCAGCUAAUCACAGAGAUGGAUUUUUGCCUAGAGUGACAAUUAACAUGAUGAAAACAUUACAGAAGUUAUCUAAUUCCAUGAAAAAAAAAAAAAAAAAGAAAUUGUUUUGAGUUGCAUCACAAGUUUAAUUACAGCACAAGCAAAAUUAAUGCUCUGUGCAUCCUACUCAUAUAGAGACUCCAAGCUGUCAAUCUCUGCACAGGCCAUCUGCCAGGAAACAGAAGACAGGCCCAUUGGCAUGACUUGUGGUUAUCCCCUUAACAGAAAUGCCACAUUUCACACCUGACAGCUCAAUAUGCCCCUAAAUUACUGCUGGACUGUCUGAGUUUUGGUCAGUUCAGCCCUAGUUUUCAUUCGCAUUCACGUGGACUAACCUGAGGCGCCUGGCCCCUGGACUGACUGCGCCCCCUGCUCGCUCUGCCCCAGGGCACGGCAGGGUUUGCGUUUGCCUCCGGGCUCUACUCGCAGCUGGGUGCUGAAGGCUCCAGCUGGUGCGUUCGGAGUCGCUUUCCUCCAGGUGGAAGCUGGAAAUCAGCAUGGAUCGUGGCAGCUCCUACCCCAGGAACAGUGGGGUCUCUCUCUGACAGAGCUUUAUAAACCUCACUAAAAUCAUAGAUGUACUUGUUAAUUACUGACUCUUGAAAGCGUUACCUUUUCAUGCAGUGAUGUGUUUAUGCAGUAACCCUCGCUGGUUAUCCCCAAACUCGCAGAGAUGGACAAGGGAUAGCUUGGGCUGAAAGCAAAAAUAAAAAGCACAUAGGAGAAAGUUACAAAGUCCUUUACAAGGUAAUGACCUAUUUUUUCCCCAUUUUUCAAUGUAUAGUAAUUAAAUAUUAAUCUUAUUAGUAUUAUCUUGAUAAUGAUUAUCCUAUGCUGCUGUUCUCUAUGAUACUGUCCUUUUACAUCUCCAGCAUAUGUGCAUGCAUACAUGCACACAUCUGAUAUGAAAUUUUCUGUCGAAAUCCCCCCCCCCCAGGUAAAAAAGAAUCAGAGCUGCUUUGAUGCAGCUGCAAGGUCCUUCAGCAGUUAACACUGCGCACAUACAGUGAGUGCACGGGACUAGCAACUAAUGGGAACUUCACCACCUAUAGAGGCACAUGGACUUGGACUUCUGGAUCAUAAUGGGUGGUGGCAAAUCAAGCCACCCUUUUGGUGAUAAACAAGAUCUCCAUUUGCCUGACCUGCAACAGUGCUCUUGCCAUGACCUUUAUGACAUACACAUCUUGGGCUCUCCAAGCUUUAAAUGUUUUGGAUGUCACUAAAUGAAAAUAAACUUCAGCCUCCUCAUUUUUUCACUUUCUUUUGACCACGGUUUUCAGUUUCACUGCCUGUCCUCCUGCCCCUGGUCCCUGACUCAGUCUUCAGAACUGUCUCGUCACCAUCCUCCACCUUUACUGCACCCUCCAGGUUGAUCCUGAUUAAAAAAUCCUCCUGCAUGUGAAAACAAUAAAUAAAUAACUAAACAAAUCAUUUGUUCAGUGCUCAGAAGCACUAAAAGGAAAAUAAUGUGAAUGUCAAGAAUCACCAGAAGAGGAACAGAGAGCAAAGCAGAGGAUAUUGUAUCUUUGUACCGUUGUAGCAUUUUCUGUAAUAGCUGCACCUUGAGUACUGUGCACGCUUCUGCCCUCUAAAUCAAAGAAAAGAUGUAGUGCAACUGGAAAAGAAAGUUCUGAGAAAAGUGAUAGAGAUGAUUUAAGGUCUAAAAUAGCUUCCCUACUAAGGGUACUAGGACACUUUCAGGACAGAGACAACUAUUGGGUAAAGAAGUUCUUACUUAUCUUUAAUAUCUGUAAGGUCAGUGGCUAAAUCUAUCAAGUUCAGUGAGGUCCAAUCUAACUAUAGUUACUAACCAAAACAUUACUGGCACCAGAAAAGCUGCCUAAAUAUUGUAAAUGUAAAUAAGUAAAUGGACUCCUUAUCUCUACAGACUUUUUCCAGAUGAAAGAGAAGAACUGAAAGUGAUGAGCCAUCUCUCUAUAGAAGUCAAUUCUGGAGAACACAGCUGCUUGCAUAACUGUGAGCACUUCCUAACAUUGGUAUUAAAUAGUCCCCACCUCUUAAAGACUUCCACACUGAUCCCUGGUGGUAUUAACUGCCCUUCAAUUACAUGCAUUUGCUGAGGAUCAGUUUUGUUUUCCUCACAGGGUCAAAAAACCCCUCCAACAACCAACCAACCAAUCUUCCCCCCCCAAAAGCUCAUAUUCAUUUCACUAUUUUUUUCAGGGACUUCAGGUUAUUUAGCACCCUGGUUUGUACAGACCAGGAACCGCCUGUUUGUGGUUCUCUCACAAACUACUUGUGGAGCCAAUAAAGGAAGUUCCAUGGCAGGAAGAAGCUGCAGUGUCUGUAGAAAGAGGGAAGGACUUGGUUUCUAUUUUAAAUCCCUCCCCACACGUCAAGAGCAAUAUUGUUUGUGUGCAGAGACCUGAAAGAAUUGAUUUCUUAAAGAAGUGAUAUAUAGAAAUGCCAUCUGGAGAGGCAAAAGUGUUUUAUGGAGAAACAGAAAACUAUUAAGUAACUACAGGUUGAAUAACAUGCUUUGGGAGAAGGCUAUCUGAGAGAUUGCACUACCUAUGCUAUAACUAGUACUUUAAAGCAUAAGGAUAUACUUUGUGUGUACUUAAAGGUCAAAAGUAAAAGUCGUCUAUGACACUAAAUGUUUUUUCAUGACCACCAUCAACUGUGAUGCACUGUGCUUAAAUCUAAACCCUUCCUCCUUUAUGUGGAAAUCUGAGAGGUUAGGCUGUCUGAAUAGUUGGAAAGAAAUCUGAGGAAGGAUCCAGAUUAAUUAGAAAUUCAGCAUCUGAACUGAAAUAAAAUAUUGUUAUUAAAGGACACUUUUUUAAGUCUCAUCUGUCACAAGUAAAUAGGUGUUAUACUCCAAUUCUCUCUUCUAUUUUAAUAUAUAUAGGACUGUUAUUUAACUAUGGUAUGCAGACAAGAUAAGUUCAUUUAUAACAAGCAUAGUAACAUGAGGUGGAAGAAUAUAUUGCCUUUCUAUGUUAAAUGUGGAUGGGUGGUCAGGAGAAACAAGGAAGAGGAACUGUAUGCAGUAACUGCAGGAAAAUAUUCCAGUCAUAUUUUAGCUAAAGAAAAAGAGGAUUUGGUAUACAGAACUCAUCAGUUUGCCUGUACGAAUAAAAACAUGCUAAAAACCAUCAUGAAAACACUGUUGGUGGCAUAGAAAACAGAACAUCAUUCAUAAACUGCUAUGAAAGGAAACUGAGCUCUUUAU